This 497-nucleotide ribosomal RNA is filed under the name uncultured bacterium. Its description in RNAcentral is "partial 16S ribosomal RNA". It matches the Rfam family "Bacterial small subunit ribosomal RNA", at positions 28 to 507 of the family's 1533-position model. The record is from RNAcentral.
GAUGAACGCUGGCGGCGUGCCUAAUACAUGCAAGUCGAGCGAACGGACGAGAAGCUUGCUUCUCUGAUGUUAGCGGCGGACGGGUGAGUAACACGUGGAUAACCUACCUAUAAGACUGGGAUAACUUCGGGAAACCGGAGCUAAUAACGGAUAAUAUUUUGAACCGCAUGGUUCAAAAGUGAAAGACGGUCUUGCUGUCACUUAUAGAUGGAUCCGCGCUGCAUUAGCUAGUUGGUAAGGUAACGGCUUACCAAGGCAACGAUGCAUAGCCGACCUGAAAGGGUGAUCGGCCAGCCUGGAACUGAGACACGGUCCCGACUCCUACGGGAGGCAGCAGUAGGGAAUCUUCCGCAAUGGGCGAAAGCCUGACGUAGCAACGCCGCGUGAGUGAUGAAGGUCUUCGGAUCGUAAAACUCUGUUAUUAGGGAAGAACAUAUGUGUAAGUAACUGUGCACAUCUUGACGGUACCGAAUCAGAAAGCCACGGCUAACUACGUG